GUCAGAAGCCGUUGGCUUUCCUUUUGCUUCACAAAACAUUAAGUAUUACUGCUCAAUGCCUCAUCUGAAUCUCAAAAAUAUUAAUCACAAAUAACGAAUGACGUGCCCUACCUAUCACAGGAAGACUAGCUCAAGAAACUUGCCAGCAACCCACAAACGAGUCCACUUUCUUUGUAUCUUGCCACGAGGCUCUCUACGUCAAGCUGAGAAGUUAGUAUUGAGGACACAAUUCUAGCCUGCACAUUUCAGUAAGAACCAACCGUGAGACUCCUGUUCGUCUCCUGUCCCCUUCCUCUGCGCUGCCUGAGGGUCUCCACAGGAGGGAUUCUCAGUGUUCAGGCCUGCAAAUGCCUCAUUUAAAGCAUCAUGGGAGGGUCCAGGCAGCUCUUCCUGCCCAUGAGUCCUGUCCCCGUGGUCUACUAAAAUCACCUUUUUGCACCAAAGACAUCUUCAAGAAUUCUCUCCUGGCCACCAGCUCUGAGCCCCAUGAACCCCGCCGUCACCGCAAAACCUCAUCAAUGAUCUCACAGUUCGUGGGUUCGAGCCCCAUGUCGGGUUCUGCACUGACAGCGUGGAGCCUGCUUGGGAUUCUCUUUCUCUCCCUCUCUCUCUCUGCCCCCCCCUCUGCUCACAUGCUCUGUCUCUCUCUUUCUCAAAAUAAAUGAACGUAAAAAAAAAAAAAAAGAAUCUAAUGCAAUGUUACAAGGAAUAACUAGAAAUGGCAAUGUACCUAAAGCGACCUGAGUGUUGCUGACUUCGUAUGACAAUGAAACAAGUGAAGAGUAAUUCAUACUGUUAAUGUUAGAAAAUACAUUUUCCCGUCUUGCUAAUGUUGCCAUAGGGGUCAAGGGCAGGCUGCUCCAAGAUGGGCCCCUUUGGCAUAAAGAUUAUUUCAAGUUAAAAGUAAACAAAACCCAUUGUGGCACUAUAUGCUAACUCAUUUGGAUGUAAAUUAAAAAAUUAAAUUAAAAAAAAGUAAACAAAACCCAGCAGGUGCAGGAAAAGCUCUCUGCUUCCCCCUCAACUGCCGAAAUCUGCAUUGGAAAGGAGAGCCUGUACCUGAAAGAGAGCUGUUAACUGAGA
Acinonyx jubatus (cheetah) is the source of this 1083-nucleotide long non-coding RNA. RefSeq lists it as uncharacterized. The record is from RefSeq and is a predicted model, not a curated record. The transcript is spliced from 3 exons. NCBI's taxonomy places the organism in Eukaryota, Metazoa, Chordata, Mammalia, Carnivora, Felidae.